RNAcentral lists this ribosomal RNA (253 nucleotides) under uncultured bacterium. RNAcentral's name for it is "partial 16S ribosomal RNA". It matches the Rfam family "Bacterial small subunit ribosomal RNA", at positions 524 to 776 of the family's 1533-position model. The record is from RNAcentral.
UACGGAGGGUGCUAGCGUUGCUCGGAAUCACUGGGCGUAAAGCGCGUGUAGGCGGUUUCGUGUGUCUGACGUGAAAGCCCCGGGCUCAACCCGGGAAGUGCGUUGGAAACUGCGGAACUAGAGUCCCGGAGAGGGAGGUGGAAUUCCAGGUGUAGCGGUGAAAUGCGUAGAUAUCUGGAAGAACACCGGUGGCGAAGGCGGCCUCCUGGACGGUGACUGACGCUGAGACGCGAAAGCGUGGGGAGCAAACAGG